GGAGUUAUAGCUCAGUGGGAGAGCAUCUGCUUGACGUGCAGAGGGUCGGGGGUUCGAAUCCCUCUAACUUCACCA
Molecule: transfer RNA, 75 nt
Filed under: Acholeplasmataceae bacterium
Lineage: Bacteria; Bacillati; Mycoplasmatota; Mollicutes; Acholeplasmatales; Acholeplasmataceae
Also listed under: 1 other name
Description: tRNA-Val
Rfam family: tRNA
About the family: Transfer RNA (tRNA) molecules are approximately 80 nucleotides in length. Their secondary structure includes four short double-helical elements and three loops (D, anti-codon, and T loops). Further hydrogen bonds mediate the characteristic L-shaped molecular structure. tRNAs have two regions of fundamental functional importance: the anti-codon, which is responsible for specific mRNA codon recognition, and the 3' end, to which the tRNAs corresponding amino acid is attached (by aminoacyl-tRNA synthetases). tRNAs cope with the degeneracy of the genetic code in two manners: having more than one tRNA (with a specific anti-codon) for a particular amino acid; and 'wobble' base-pairing, i.e. permitting non-standard base-pairing at the 3rd anti-codon position.
Source: RNAcentral